This 783-nucleotide non-coding RNA is filed under the name Cephalallus oberthueri. Lineage: Eukaryota; Metazoa; Arthropoda; Insecta; Coleoptera; Cerambycidae. The record is from RNAcentral.
AAAAAGUUUUAUUCUAACUUAAAAAUUAGGUUAAAUUUAAAUUUACAUGUAAAUUUUAGUGAAAAAAUAAAUUAAUUUUAAUAAUUAAUUUAAUAUUUAUAUUUUAUUCGCAGUAAAUAUUUUUAAAAAUUAAAGUAAUUUAGAUUUAGAUAUAAUUUUUAUUAUAAACAAAGUUUGUGCCAGCAGUUGCGGUUAUACAAAUUAUAAAAAUUAAUUUUAUUAGUUUUAAUAAAUUUUUAAAAAUAAUUUUAAAUUAAAAUUUAUUAGGUGAAAUUUUAAAUUUUAAUAAAAAAUUUAUUUAUUUAGUGAUUUUAAGAAAUUUAAAUUUUAAACUAGGAUUAGAUACCCUAUUAUUUUAAACGUUAAAUUAAAAUGCUAAAUUAGUAUUAGUUAUGUUCUUGAAAAUUAAAGAUUUUGGCGGUAUUUUAGUCUAUUCAGAGGAACCUGUUCUAUAAUUGAUAAUCCACGAUUUAAUUUACUUUUUUUAUUAAUUUAUAUAUCAUCGUAGUUUGAAUAUUUUAAAAGAAUAUAAAUAUUCAUAAUAUUUUUUAAAUAAAAAAUCAGAUCAAGGUAUAGUUUAUAAAAAAGAAGAAAUGGGUUACAAUAAAUUUAUUUAAGGAUAUUUUUUUUUAAAAAAGAUUGAAUUUGGAUUUGAAAGUAAUUUAAUUAAAAUUAUUUAAAUGAUUUAAGCUCUAAAAUAUGUACAUAUUGCCCGUCGCUUUCACUUUAAGGUGGAAUAAGUCGUAACAAAGUAGGCUUACUGGAAAGUGAGCCUAGAAAGAA